UGGGGGUAGUCUCUGCUCCAUGUUUUCAAUAAAUAGCCGCAGUAAUUUUAACUGUGCUAAGGUAGCACAAUAAUUUGCCUUUUAAUUGGGGGCCGGAAUAAAAGAGUUGAUAAUAUUUAUACUUUAUUUGUUAGCUCACGAUAAAUUAAUAUUUACUUAAAAAAGAGUAACUGUUUAAAAAGACGAUAAGACCCUAUAAAACUUUAUCAACUGCCCGGGUUAUAAAACAGGAUUCAUGUAAUUUUGGGAGUAGAUUGAGCUGGGGCGGCAUCUAAUCAUUGUUCCCUAGAAAAAUAAACACAAUUUUGUGAUUUUCAAGAUCUUGCCUAUUAAAGUUAGAAUAAGUUACUUUAGGGAUAACAGCACAAUUUUUUCAAAUAGACCUUAUAGAAGAAAAGGAGUUGUGACCUCGAUGUUGAAUUGAGGGGCCUGUGCUGAGCAGAAAUAGUUCAAAGGGAGUCUGUUCGACUCUUAAACCCUC
Molecule: ribosomal RNA, 481 nt
Filed under: Panetela sp. VTDes177
Lineage: Eukaryota; Metazoa; Arthropoda; Malacostraca; Isopoda; Nannoniscidae
Description: partial 16S ribosomal RNA
Rfam family: Archaeal large subunit ribosomal RNA
Source: RNAcentral